UACGGAGGGUGCAAGCGUUAAUCGGAAUUACUGGGCGUAAAGCGUGCGUAGGUGGCUUGAUAAGCCGGUUGUGAAAUCCCCGGGCUUAACCUGGGAAUGGCAUCCGGAACUGUCAAGCUAGAGUGCAGGAGAGGGAGGUAGAAUUCCCGGUGUAGCGGUGAAAUGCGUAGAGAUCGGGAGGAAUACCAGUGGCGAAGGCGGCCUGCUGGACUGACACUGACACUGAGGUGCGAAAGCGUGGGUAGCAAACAUG
This 253-nucleotide unclassified non-coding RNA is filed under the name uncultured Halomonadaceae bacterium. RNAcentral's name for it is "contains 16S-23S intergenic spacer region". It matches the Rfam family "Bacterial small subunit ribosomal RNA", at positions 524 to 776 of the family's 1533-position model. The record is from RNAcentral. Lineage: Bacteria; Pseudomonadati; Pseudomonadota; Gammaproteobacteria; Oceanospirillales; Halomonadaceae.